Salmo salar (Atlantic salmon) is the source of this 1267-nucleotide non-coding RNA. The record is from RefSeq and is a predicted model, not a curated record. Lineage: Eukaryota; Metazoa; Chordata; Actinopteri; Salmoniformes; Salmonidae.
UGUCGGAGCUAGAAGCAUUUCGCAACACCCGCAAUAACAUCUGCUAAACACGUGUAUGUGACCAAUACAUUUUAUUUUAUUUUAUUUGAGCUACCUUGGAAGCCAACUCUCUAACGUUUAACCAUAAAGCCAAGGGGUUUCAUUUUACUAAGAGCAUUGUACCUAAGUCGAGGAGGGGUUUGGCAGAGGAGGAAAACUUGGAAGACCAGCAUGACUGGGUGGCAGAAGAGUGGGUAGAGGUAGGGUGAGAACAGACAGGGAAGACCCGCACAGGGUAAUCUUGAGGUCAGUGAUUGAGGAGGAGGAGCCAAGAGGGGUCAGGCUCUGAACCAAAUAAUAGCCAAUAUUGUAAACCGCUAACCUCAUACUUUGAGAUACAAUCUGAUUGAAAUAAAUAUUUGAUAACUUUUACUGUCAUUUUUUGUGCAGGUAAAAUUAAUGAGAGGCACCUGAAACCGUUUCUCUCUCUCCAUCCCUCUUUCCAUCCAGGUCCACUGACACUAAUAUGUGCUUGUGAAGUUAUUCUCUGCUCAGCUGACAGAUACAGGAGUCCAUUCCAUUCCAAAUAGGUUACCUUGGCUCUCCUCUAUGCACAGCACUCUGGGGAUUCCUGCAGUUGUUCUCAGAAGACAGGUCAGUGUGUGUAGAGAGAACACGUUUGACCAGGUAGUCAGGCUUCUACUUCAUCGGCCUGGACCAGUACACCAAAGAGGCGGAGGACGCCAAGUUUGGACCAAUUAUGCUGAUGCCCCACUGUAAGAACCUGGAGAUCUGUACUGGUUCUGAGGGAGGUGACGUGGCCACAAACAGUGCCUGAGACAUUCCGGCGCCCGGGUCACCUUCCGGCGACUGGGACACCUUCUAGUGCUACUGUUGACUAGAGCAGGGGGUUCCCAAACUUUUUCACUUGGGGCCCCCCUUCCAGCAUUGGGGAACAUCCCACUCCCGCAGGCGUGCACACACACCAUGUCUAUUUCUAUGGACACAAGCACUGUUCAUGACACAAACUGUUCACACCCUUCUUGUUGUUGGAGAGAAUUUUGCAGGUUUAAAGCUUAUUUCCUGCAAUUCUACACAUUUAGUCAUGGGGUGCAAAUAACAUUUUGCAAUUUUAAAGCUCAUUUUCUUGCAAUUCUAUAGAGUUUGCCAUGUCUAAUGUGUAUUUAUGUGAUAUUUGAAUGACUUUGAAAUUACAACGAUAUCUAUGGGCAAAAAAAAAACUUUUUUUUUUUUUGUUUUAGCUGACAUGGGCUAGUUCAUCUGGACA